UUACGGCCAUAUCACGUUGAAACACUUGUCUUUGUACGAUCACAGAGGUUAACCAAGGUCGAGGCUGGUCAGUACUGAAAUGAGUGACCACUUGGGAAUACCAGGU
Non-coding RNA from Acanthosepion pharaonis, 106 nucleotides. NCBI's taxonomy places the organism in Eukaryota, Metazoa, Mollusca, Cephalopoda, Sepiida, Sepiidae. The record is from the annotation of a GenBank genome assembly.